GAUGAACGCUAGCGGCAGGCUUAAUACAUGCAAGUUGAGGGGCAGCAUGAUAUACGCGAGUAUAUUGAUGGCGACCGGCGGACGGGUGAGUAAUAGGUAGGAGACCUACCUCAUACAGGGGGAUAGCAUAGAGAAAUCUGUGGUAAUACCCCAUGAGGUUAUAUGAAUAGAGGCAUAUAAUCAAAAGCAUAAGCGAUUAUGCGGUAUGAGAGGGGCCUACUGACCAUUAGCUAGUUGGUGAGGUAAGGGCUCACCAAGGCGAAGAUGGUUAGGGGUUUUGAGAGAGAGACCCCCCACAUUGGAACUGAGAGACGGUCCAGACUCCUACGGGAGGCAGCAGUCGAGAAUAGUCUACAAUGGCCGGAAGGCUGAUAGUGCGACGCCGCGUGAACGAGGGAGCCCUCGGGUGGUAAGUUCUUUUCUAUACGAGCAGUGCUAUAUAUAUGGAUAGUAUAUAUAGAGGAUAGUAGUAUAGG
Molecule: ribosomal RNA, 476 nt
Filed under: uncultured bacterium
Lineage: Bacteria
Description: bacterial SSU rRNA
Rfam family: Bacterial small subunit ribosomal RNA
Source: RNAcentral